Molecule: ribosomal RNA, 498 nt
Filed under: uncultured bacterium
Lineage: Bacteria
Description: partial 16S ribosomal RNA
Rfam family: Bacterial small subunit ribosomal RNA
Source: RNAcentral
AUUGAACGCUGGCGGCAUGCCUUACACAUGCAAGUCGAACGGUAACGCGGGGCAACCUGGCGACGAGUGGCGAACGGGUGAGUAAUGUAUCGGAACGUGCCCAGUUGUGGGGGAUAACUGCUCGAAAGAGCAGCUAAUACCGCAUACGACCUGAGGGUGAAAGCGGGGGAUCGCAAGACCUCGCGCAAUUGGUGCGGCCGAUAUCAGAUUAGGUAGUUGGUGGGGUAAAGGCCUACCAAGCCUACGAUCUGUAGGUGGUCUGAGAGGACGACCCACCACACUGGGACAGAGACACGGCCCAGACUCCUACGGGAGGCAGCAGUGGGGAAUUUUGGACAAUGGGGGAAACCCUGAUCCAGCCAUGCCGCGUGCGGGAAGAAGGCCUUCGGGUUGUAAACCGCUUUUGUCAGGGAAGAAAUCCUUUGAACUAAUACUUCGGAGGGAUGACGGUACCUGAAGAAUAAGCACCGGCUAACUACGUGCCAGCCGCCGCGGUAA